Molecule: long non-coding RNA, 3090 nt
Filed under: Sus scrofa (pig)
Lineage: Eukaryota; Metazoa; Chordata; Mammalia; Artiodactyla; Suidae
Description: lncRNA (ENSSSCG00035004592.1)
Source: RNAcentral
CAUACCAAAAACACACAAAUCCCACAGUAAAAACAGCUUAAACAUUGUAUAGUAGGGGGAUGAUAAACUAUAGAAAAUCAAUAGAACCAAAAAUGUUAAGUAUCUUUUAUAGAUUACAAGAUAAUUACAAGGACUGAAGAAACCUAUUUUAGAAUAUAAGUAUAUGCUACUAAAUUGUUACAUAACAUAGCUAGAGAUUGGAAAGGAAUAAGAAAUGACCAUGUUGUUUUUUUAGUAUGGUAGGAUUAUGAGUAAAAUGUUAAAUUUUUUUGAAAAUUUUAUGUUAAUUACAUGGAUUUAAUUUUUAGAGUCCUAAUUGACCACACAUACAAAAAGGUUAAUUGAAUGAAUAUUAAUAAAAUGGCUAUGAAGUUCUUAUCGUGGCUUGGUGGUUAACAGACCUGGCUAGUAUCCAUGAGGACUCGGUUUGAUGCCUGGCCUCGCUCAGUGGGUUAAGGAUCCAGCACUGCAAUGCACUGUGGUGUAGGUUGCAGACAUGGCUUGGAUCCCGCAUUGUUGUGGCCGUGCCCUAGCCUGGCAGCUGUAUCUCCGAUUGUACCCCUAGCCUGGGAACCUCCAUAUGCUGCAGGUGUAGCCCUAAGAAAACCAAAAAAAAAAAAAAAAAAUAAACUGCCAUUUCCUCAGGAAAAUGUAUUCAAAUUAAAUAGACAAAAUUACUCCUUAAAAAAGACAGUAAAAGUAGCCUAAGUUUUUGUGUACAUCUUCAUGUCAGUUAAGCAACAAAAUACUAAACAGGGUCAAAGGGUCAAAGGAUAUAUAUAUAUUUUUAAACAUACCUAAUUAUUAUAAAUUAGGCUCCCAGUGUUGUCUGGCAAUCCUUCCAUAUUUCCCUAGUCAACUUGAACUUUCAUGAUGGUACCUAUUUCUAUUCACCUUAGGUUUCCCAUCUCAUCAACUCUUCCUCCUUUAUAUUUAACAAAUUGACCUUGUCUCCUACUUCACAUAGAAAACAGAAGUUGUCAGACAGAAAUGCCUAAACUUGUAACAUGGAACAUGUGACUUACAUAUAAACUUAUGGAUAUCCAUAAGCAUCUCUCUUCCACCACCCUUUCCUCUUCUCCUUUCAUAACAGUACAGUAGAAGAGGUGUUCCCUUUUCUUUCUGAAGCUAAUAUUUCUUCCGGUGCCCUGGAUCCCAUCCUCCUUGACUCUGAUCAUUGCCUGUUAUUCUAUAGAUAUUUUCAACUUCUUCUCAAUUGAUUCCUUUCUCUCUUGAUAGUCCUUUUAUAGAUUUCUUUACCUCUGCCUUUACCUCUGCACAUAAUACUGUUCCUGAACCUUUUGUCCAAGGUCUUUUUUCAUUCUACACAAUCCCUGGUGAUCUCAUCUUUAACAUGUCUUCAGUUUCUCAUUAUUGCAGAAUACUCCCAAGUUUUUGAUUCUAGCCAGAUUCUCUCCACUUAGUGUCUGACUGCUAAAGCCAAAUGCCUGGUAAGAUAUCUCCAAUUGAGACUGCACAGGCAUUUCAGAUUUAAUGUAUAAAUUAUUGACUCAGUUCCUCACACUUUAUAUCUAUCUGAACCUUCUGUCUGCUUCUUCACUUCUCCUGCCUCAGUUUUGGCCUUGCUGAUAUCUUGUUUGAGCUUUUAUAGAAAACCUUCUAAAAUUUCUGUCUUUAUAAGCUCCCAUUUUCUCCAGUUAAUGCAUUCAUAGCCCUCUUACUCUAUGACAUACUUAAUGUUAUCUGUUUGCUUAAGUCCUUUCAGAAGAUCUCCAGGAAACUCUCAAAACCUUGCACUUAUUUACAAGUACUCUUUACCUAUACCAAACUAUGUGGAUUUUCUGAAGUACUCAUUUUAAAAAUUCCUCUGUACUUUUCUUCUGCUUCAAAAUGUUUUUACAUGUAUUCUCUCCUUAAUAAAUUCCUACUUAUCACUUAAAAAUUUUUUAAUCCUCUGUUAGUCUUCCUCCUCCUCCUCUUCUUCUUUUGUUAAUCCUUUCUUUAACCUUUUCUCCUACUAAUCAAGCAAAGAUAGUCUGUCUACCUGAUGUGCUUCAUUGGGAGUUUAUGCAGACUGCCAUGCUGGUAAUUCUUGUCACUCUGUAUUGAAUCUCUCCUAUUUAGGGUUGUAGGCUUUUGUUCACUUGACCCCUUCAUCAGACUCUGAAUUUAAUCAAAGAGGUAUACUUACCUUAAUAUCUCAAGCAGCAGGAUAAAACUUGUUAUGCUAUAAUCUUUCAGUAAUUUGGAUAGAUAGUUUGUAAAAGAUCACUUGGUUGUUGUGAGUUAGGCUUGGAACCCAGACCUCUUGACUUCAGUGUUCAUUAUCACACUGUUUCUGCAGGUUCUGUGUUACUAAGUUCUUAUGAUAAUUCUACUCUUUUUAAAGAGCCUUCUAUUAUAGUACACAGUUGUGUCUUUAUAUGCCUUAUUAACAGUAUUAGUAUUAUUUUAAUGAAAUGUGUGUACUUUUUAACUUUGAUUCUAGUAUCAUCUUAGUUGUCAUUUUAGAGAAUAUGGUUCCUUCUUCUGGAUUAACUCUACAGGUUUUUUCAUUGUUUAAAUACUGAAAUACUAGAUCUUUUGCAGUGUCAUGAGUUUCCAUAUUUCCCUUUGUGCUAACAGCUAUGUUUAUUGUGACACUUUAUUCAUUUAGUCUGGUUGUUUCCAUGUAAUUGGUACACAGAAUUUAAUGCUUCAUACAUUUCUUGAGCUUUAUUCUUCACAGUCAGAUCUUUCUAAAGUCUGCACCCAUUGUGGUAGUGGUAUUAUAUCCCAUAGAUAAAAUUGUUCACUUUAUAAAGUUCCUAGAUCUUCUUGUUCUGAUCUUUGGCUGUCUUAAAUCCCUGGAAACAGUUUUUUGGUAACCAUGUGUAAGUUAUUUUAAUAUUUAAUGCUAUCCUCGGCUAAUCUAACCAAAGUUUGUUUUAUUAUGCCCUUAUUUUAACUCUUUGGUGAAUGAAAAUGAUAGAAAUUUAGAAAAAAAUUAAAACGUGAAUAACCAGUUUCUUCAGCCUUUCUUUCAUAGAUACUACAUCAGUUAUAUAGUUCUUUAUGGUUUGUCUUUGAACCUUAUCUGAAUACUGCCUAGUUUCUUUAAAAGUUAAAAUUCAACGUGCCACAGAUGCG